GAAAAACAAUUAAACGGUUUCGCCUAAACUGAAUCAGAAAACAGAAACAGAAACAAAACCAGAACAUUAACAAAAUAUAAAGGAAAAAUAGUGAAUUAAAGUGCCGAAAAUCGCCAUUAAAUAAACAAACUGUGGCUACAAUUUAAUUAAAUGUACACAAAGAAACAAACGAACAAUUCGCUCGCAUCAGAAACCAACUUAAAUGACUUAAAUGGGCAGCUUAACAAAAUCGUAAUCGCAAUCGCAAUCGCAUUUGUAAUUGUAAUCGAAAUUGUAAUUGAAAAUUGAAAAUGAAAAUGAAAAUAAUUAAGGCAGCAAGCGGAGACAAUUAAAAGGACAGCUCAAUUCGAUAACGAAUACAUUGAAAAAAUAAACGAUAUACAAUUGAGAUUCAAUUGAAACGAGGAGGCAAAGGACGCAAGGACAGCGCAACAUCCCAAUGAAAUCAACGAAGGCGCACAAAUCAAAAAUGGAACCAAAAAUUUUGUGCUUUUGUAUUUGCCCAUUUUAAUGAGUGUAGCAAA
Long non-coding RNA from Drosophila innubila, 524 nucleotides. RefSeq lists it as uncharacterized. Lineage: Eukaryota; Metazoa; Arthropoda; Insecta; Diptera; Drosophilidae. The transcript is spliced from 2 exons. The record is from RefSeq and is a predicted model, not a curated record.